UAAUUGAGAAAAAUGCCUUACAGCUGGAUC
RNAcentral lists this non-coding RNA (30 nucleotides) under Mus musculus (house mouse). The record is from RNAcentral. Lineage: Eukaryota; Metazoa; Chordata; Mammalia; Rodentia; Muridae.